This 119-nucleotide ribosomal RNA is filed under the name Triticum aestivum (bread wheat). Lineage: Eukaryota; Viridiplantae; Streptophyta; Magnoliopsida; Poales; Poaceae. The record is from RNAcentral.
GGAUGCGAUCAUAGCAGCACUAAAGCACCGGAUUCCAUCAGAACUCCGAAGUUAAGCGUGCUUGGGCAAGAGUAGUACUAGGAUGGGUGACCUCCUGGGAAGUCCUCGUGUUGCAUUCC